UAGAUGGCGUUACUCUUACCGGUCUAACA
Molecule: small RNA, 29 nt
Filed under: Bombyx mori (domestic silkworm)
Lineage: Eukaryota; Metazoa; Arthropoda; Insecta; Lepidoptera; Bombycidae
Description: ovarian small RNA-22140
Source: RNAcentral